RNAcentral lists this ribozyme (74 nucleotides) under unclassified sequences. RNAcentral's name for it is "HDV ribozyme from F. prausnitzii". It matches the Rfam family "HDV ribozyme from F. prausnitzii". The record is from RNAcentral.
GCUGCUCGACGAUUGCAUACCUCUUCGUGGUGAGCAGUAGGCAACGUAAUGGUUAUUACGGCAGAAAUGCGUUG